RNAcentral lists this small RNA (1330 nucleotides) under Pan troglodytes (chimpanzee). RNAcentral describes it as "processed transcript". Lineage: Eukaryota; Metazoa; Chordata; Mammalia; Primates; Hominidae. The record is from RNAcentral.
AGGCAGGGGCGGGGCUUCAGCCCCCGGCUCACCUGCGCGGCAUCGAAGCGACGCAGCCCGGCCAAGUGAAGCUGCACCAGCGACCGGAAGGCCCGGCUAACGCGCUGCAGCCGGAGCAGCUGGCGCAGCGGGACCCGGUUCAGGACGUGUGGGAGCAGCACGUCUUCCCAGGGCAGGUCCAGGAACCUGCGAGUAAAGGGGCGUUGGCACUGGCGUCCCGGGGCCACUAUUACCUGCGAGUCCGCCUCCGUUAUGUUCCUGCGCCCCAGCUCCCAAGAGCGGCCCCCAGACCCAGCCCCGGCUCGGCUCCCCUCCCUCAGGUUCCUCUUCCCUCUCGGCCCCUCCGGUGCUCGGUACCUGACGGCUCCGGGCUCUUGCUCCCCUCCGGACGGCUCCAUCGGUGGCUCCAUCGGCUGUCUAUUGCGCGUGCGCAGUAAGAUUUUCUCGCUUUGGCCUUGGAGUGGCCGCACCAAACCCGCCUCCUUGGCCUGUAGAGACAGACCUAUUUAAUCGAGUGCCGUCUCACCGAGGAUCCGAUCUGAAAGCUUUUCGGGUGGACCCCGAAACGGAGGCGGAACAGACCGGUGGUGUAACAUUAGGCCUUGCCUUCUCGGCUACAGGGCUUGAGGCCUGAAGCUGGAGAAUGCGGUCCCAGUCCCAGGAUCCGCUUCGGGGAACCCCAGGAGUAGCGCCUUCCCCCAUCAUCCACGGGAUGGGUGUGGGGGGAUGUGAAGGACGCGAGAGCCACUGCACCGCUGACGGUCUGGCGCUCCUUCGGUGCAACCGCUUCAGCUGGCUCAUCACAACGAAAACCACUUCUCAUCUGUUAUCUCGUCAAGGCUUCGGGCACCUCUGAAAGCUCAGCUGGGCCCAGCCUCUCCUCUGUCUCUCCUCGGUCUCAGCUCUGGGCGAGCAGCGGCCUGUCUGAAGAGCAUGCAGCCCCCUUACUCCCCGCCUGGCCUCGCCAUCCCUGCCCCCCCAGCCUGACCCCCGGCCCCAGCAUGGCCCAGGGUGCCAUGCGCUUCUGCUCGGAAGGCGACUGUGCCAUCUCCCCACCACGAUGCCCACGCCGCUGGCUCCCCGAAGGCCCGGUGCCCCAGAGCCCCCCAGCCAGCAUGUAUGGCAGCACAGGCUCCUUGCUACGGCGAGUGGCAGGUCCAGGUCCUCGAGGCCGGGAACUGGGACGUGUGACAGCACCCUGUACACCUCUGCGUGGCCCCCCCUCACCCCGUGUUGCUCCCUCACCCUGGGCACCCUCUUCACCCACUGGGCAGCCCCCACCCGGGGCCCAGAGCUCUGUGGUCAUCUUCCGCUUUGUGGAGAAGGCCAG